CACGUAGGGGGCAAGCGUUUGUCCGGAUUUAUUGGGCGUAAAGAGCUCGUAGGCGGUUCGGUAAGUCGGGUGUGAAACCUCCAGCUCAACCUGGAGUCGCCACUCGAUACUGCUGUGACUAGAGUCCGGUAGGGGAGAUUGGAAUUCCUGGUGUAGCGGUGGAAUGCGCAGAUAUCAGGAGGAACACCGAUGGCGAAGGCAGAUCUCUGGGCCGUAACUGACGCUGGAGGAGCGAAAGCAUGGGGAGCGAACAGG
Molecule: ribosomal RNA, 255 nt
Filed under: uncultured bacterium
Lineage: Bacteria
Description: partial 16S ribosomal RNA
Rfam family: Bacterial small subunit ribosomal RNA
Source: RNAcentral